RNAcentral lists this long non-coding RNA (4808 nucleotides) under Trifolium pratense (red clover). RNAcentral describes it as "long non-coding RNA (TPRA_LNC001295)". The record is from RNAcentral. Lineage: Eukaryota; Viridiplantae; Streptophyta; Magnoliopsida; Fabales; Fabaceae.
GAUUACAUGGAAGAUUAUGAGGUCAAGGUUCCUUUUCAGUCUCUUCAGGCUUUAGGAUGCCACGUUGAUGCAGUUUGCCCCUCAAAGAAGGCCGGUGACACUUGCCCAACUGCUGUUCAUGAUUUUGAAGGAGAUCAAACUUACAGUGAGAAGCCAGGACACAAUUUUGCUUUAACUGCGAACUUUGAUGAUGUCAAUGCUUCAGGCUAUGAUGCUCUUGUCAUCCCUGGAGGCCGAUCACCCGAGUACUUGUCAUUGAAUGAGUCUGUUAUUUCCUUGGUGAAGCAUUUCAUGGAAAGCAAUAAGCCAGUUGCAUCAAUCUGUCACGGUCAACAGAUUUUAGCUGCCGCUGGUGUUCUCAAGGUAUCAUUACUGCAAACUCAUUAGAGACACCGUUUUUGUUAUUUCACGCUAGUUAUUAACCAGCAUUUGAAUUGAGUAGCUAUUAAUAUUCUUGAACUCUUGUUCAAUCUACACCUUUUCUUUUGGAUCGUUGGGUUACAAUGUUGUAACUAGCAAGGCUGAACAAGUAUGAAGUUAUAACUGACAGGGAUACAAAUGCAAUAAUUUUUCCUUAAAUAACUCAUGCAGUGUGUUAGUGUUGUUAUAGAUUUAUACUUCUGGUCUAAACUGUCAUAAUGUCAUUACUUUCUUGAUGCUUUAGGCGCACGCCCUUAGUUUCCAUCCUCUUUUGGGAAGAUAUAAUGUUUAUGACUUUUGAGUCUGGUCUUUGUGUGUGCUGAACAAAUUAAUUAAGCAAUUCUUGUACAAGUUGUUCUUGUGUCCUUCUUUGCCACAAUUACUGUUAUACUUAGUGGACAAGUUGCUCGUGAAUCUGUCAUCCUUUCUUCUGUCCACAUCUUCAUUCUAGAGUUGCUUGUUCUUCUGUGACAUGUUGGUAGAGAGACACACAGCAUGCAUGGAUUGAGAAUCACAACAUAUGUGAUAUAUUGUAAUCAUGAAAUGCUAACAUGACUUCUGUGAAUCAUAUUUACUCUUAGUUUUUCCUCACAUGUAGUCUUCGGCUUUUCAUACACCUUGUUUUCUUGCUUGGAUACUUGUGUUGUAAAUUGUAAUCCUAGUAUCUUAAAUAUACUUGAGGAUUUCCCAUUAAGGAAAGGAAAGAAUGAUAAUACAUAAUUAAGCAAAAAAAAUAUUUCGAUCAUUCCACUUAUUUCAUCUAUUAACUAUUGAUACAUAACCUUAAAGUCUAGUACAUUUUUCUUGUAACAGGGAAGGAAAUGCACUGCUUAUCCGGCUGUGAAGCUUAAUGUGGUUUUGUCAGGAGCAACAUGGUUGGAGCCUGACCCCAUAAGCCGCUGCUUCACUGAUGGAAAUUUGGUUACAGGAGCUGCAUGGCCAGGGCACCCUGAGUUCAUUUCUCAGUUGAUGGCACUACUUGGUAUUCAAGUAUCUUUCUAGUAGCCUUUCGUAAUAUAAUAAUGAAUAAAAAUCACCACAUGUGUCUAUUAUUGAAGGGUUCAAAAUAAGUGGAUGUGUAUUGUUACCUUAUUGUAUUUGAAGGACUUGUUAUGUGAUAGACAUGCAAGUCUCUUUUGGCUCUUUUGAGCAAAGUGUCUCUUGGCUGAGGAAUUAUUCAUCCUAAGGACUUGUAUUUUUUAUAUAUUUUUUUUUUAUAUUAACCCUUUGGAUAAGAAUUGUUCCGACCAGAAAUCAAACUCAGAUUCUUUCGAACGAUUCGUCGGGGGCAUUCCUUGUACAAAACUAACUAGCUUACAACAAAUUGCUAUUGUCGGACGUCAGGACCGAGGUUCGAACCUCGGUCACUCCACUUUGUGUGUGUGAAUUUUCAAUGACUUUGUCAUUUCGUCUAUCAACCAAAAAAAAAAUCAUAACAAACAUAUUAAUAAACUACACAAACAUAUACAUAAUUGAUCCAAAGACAUGAAUGUUUCAGACAUUUUCAUUUCGUUAUAUUUGUAAGCUUUACCAUAUUUGUAGGCAUUUUGUUGUUUUAUAUGUGAGUGUUGUAAGUUUAUUUAUAGAUUUAUCUUUUUUUAGUUCAUAGCGAUUUUGAAUUUGUAUUGUUCUAUGAAUUCUACAAAUUGAAUGAAUGUCGUUUUUAGUCUAAAAAAAUUAGUUGUUUUUUCUUGACCAAAAAAAGUAGUUGUUUUAUAAAUUAAUAGCUAAGUGGAAUUUUGUUUUUGAAAACAACUAUUAUUAAUUUUUUUUAUAAUAAAAAAAGUUUUCUAUCAUUUAAAAAUUAUAAUAACUAAAUAUUAUUUAUCAAAAGUAUCAUCGAAAGAAAAUUUAAAUUUUCAUUAUUACCCAUAAUGGUAAAUAUUGAAUUUCUUUAAGAUAAAAUAUAAAAAUUAAUUUAUUACUUUAAAAAACAAUAAUUUUUUUUCCUUAUGAAAUGAUAUUUUCUACAAUACAAAAAAUCAAUAAUCGUUAAUUUAUCGGUUUAAAUUAAACAUAUAUACUGCCUCCGGCCUCAUACACUCAUUCCACCCUUUAUUUUAAGACAAUUAUAAGCAAAAAUUUAUUGAAUAAUUGAUCUAUAUUCUGAAAAGUGAACUUUUGCUUAUAAUUAAAGAUAGAGUAGUGUAAGCAAAAAUUUACCUUUAAAAUUCAUUACAUAACUAAUGUAUAUAACCUAUAUUAUAGGUUAGAUGCAUAAGUAUUUUAAAAAAAAAAUGAAGUUUACUUUGGUCAAAAGAAAAAAGAAUAGAUAUUUUUUUUCAAUUGCCCCUAAAAAAAAACUUUGGUCAAACUCUUGUAAAUUUGAACAGAUCUCUUCGUUCUUCUUCUACCAUCAUUCCAAGCUCUGAGUAGUCUACACAUUCUAACAUCAGUAGCAUAGCAUUGCUCUAUCAGCCAUGGCUCCCAAAAGGGUUCUUCUCCUUUGUGGUGACUUCAUGGAAGACUAUGAAGUAAGCUUCACUUCAUUUCACCUUCUUGACUCACACUCACACUCUCACUCAAUUCACUUCUCAUUUUUUUUUUCUGUUGCAGGCUAUGGUUCCUUUUCAGGCAUUGCAAGCAUUUGGUAUCACCGUCGAUGCUGUUUGUCCCGGAAAAAAAUCUGGUGAUGUCUGCCGCACCGCCGCCCAAUUUCUCUCCGGCUUCCAGGUCUCCCUUCAUUCUUUUNNNNNNNNNNNNNNNNNNNNNNNNNNNNNNNNNNNNNNNNNNNNNNNNNNNNNNNNNNNNNNNNNNNNNNNNNNNNNNNNNNNNNNNNNNNNNNNNNNNNNNNNNNNNNNNNNNNNNNNNNNNNNNNNNNNNNNNNNNNNNNNNNNNNNNNNNNNNNNNNNNNNNNNNNNNCCGCACCGCCGCCCAAUUUCUCUCCGGCUUCCAGGUCUCCCUUCAUUCUUUUCCUGUGUUUGCUUUGCUUGCAUCAUUAUAUAAUGCUUGGCAUCAUUAAAAUAUGUAAUUAGUGUUGUUUAACUUGAUUCAUCAUUAGAUACAACUCAAUAUAUUCCUUGCAAAUCAUAUAUAUAUUCAAGAUAAUUACACAUGAAUCAAAGGUAGAGAGACAACAAGCUACGCUGCUAACCCUUUCUGGAUGACAAAACCAAUCAUCUGAAAAACUACAUCCAUAGACUUAUGAGACACAACAUUUCUAUGCAUGACUGUUUGAAUUGAUUUGCUAAUUAGUUACAUUGUUUGCCAAUUUUCAUGGAUAAAUGAAGUCAAAAGGAUUUCAAUUUUCAACAUCAAGUCAGACCUAAUUUUAUAAUUUUAGGGGAAAAAUACACUAAAAAUGCUCAUCUAGAAAUGUUCAAUCAAUUCCCAUAACUAUAAUUUAGUUCUAAUUUCCAAACAUAGUCUUGGUGAGAUUUUGUGAUAUGUAUUGUAUGGUAAAAUUUUAAUCUUGAAUAAUGGAUUUUUUUGGUGGUUUCAGACUUAUACUGAGAUAGUUGGUCACAAUUUUACACUCAAUGCAACUUUUGAUGAAAUUGAUGAUAAAAACUAUGAUGGGUUGUGGUUGCCGGGAGGAAGGGCGCCUGAGUAUCUUGCUCACAUUCCUGCUGUUGUGGAGCUAGUGGCUAAGUUUGCCAAUUCUGGUAAAGGAAUUGUUUGCCUUUGUCAUUCACAGAUGCUUCUAGCAGCUGCUGGUGUACUUGAAGGUCGUGCGUGCACAGCUUUUUCUCCUGUCAAACCAGUAUUGGUUGCUGCUGGCGCUCAUUGGGUUGAACCUGACUCCUUGGCAACAACUGUGGUGGAUGGUAAUUUCAUUACUGCACCUACUUAUGAAGGGAACCCUGAAGUUCUUCGCCAUUUUGUCAAGGCAUUAGGAGGCAAAAUAAGUGUUUCUGAUAAGAAAAUCCUCUUUAUUUGUGGGGUAUGCUCAAAUGUUUUUCUUAUUUCCCGUAGUUAAAAAAAAUCACGGACUGAGAUACUGCUAACUUUACUUAUUGUUUUAGAAUUUCCUUAUUAAACUUGCUAUGCUGCUUGGUGAUAUGUGUUUUAAAUUUUAAUCACAGGAUUACAUGGAAGAUUAUGAGGUCAAAGUUCCUUUUCAGUCUCUUCAGGCUUUAGGAUGCCAUGUUGAUGCAGUUUGCCCCUCAAAGAAGGCUGGCGACACUUGCCCAACUGCUAUUCAUGAUUUUGAAGGAGAUCAAACUUACAGUGAGAAGCCAGGGCACAAUUUUACUUUAACUGCAACCUUUGAUGAUGUUGAUGCUUCAGGCUACGAUGCUCUUGUCAUCCCUGGAGGCCGAUCACCUGAGUACUUGGCAUUGAAUGAGUCUGUUAUUUCCUGGGUGAAGCAUUUCAUGGAAAGCAAUAAGCCAGUUGCAUCAAUCUGUCAUGGUCAACAGAUUUUAGCUGCUGCUGGUGUUCUCAAG